AGAGUUUGGAUCCUGGCUCAGGAUGAACGCUAGCGGGAGGCUUAAUACAUGCAAGUCGAACGGUAAGGCCCCUUCGGGGGUACACGAGUGGCGAACGGGUGAGUAACGCGUACGCAAUCUACCUAUAACUGAGGGAUAGCCCCGGGAAACUGGGAUUAAUACCUUAUAAUAUUCUGAUUAGGCAUCUUUUCGGAAUUAAAACUCCGGUGGUUAUAGAUGAGCGUGCGUCCCAUUAGCUUGUUGGUAAGGUAACGGCUUACCAAGGCAACGAUGGGUAGCUGGCGUGAGAGCGCGAUCAGCCACACGGGCACUGAGACACGGGCCCGACUCCUACGGGAGGCAGCAGUAAGGAAUAUUGGACAAUGGGCGAAAGCCUGAUCCAGCCAUCCCGCGUGCAGGAUGAAUGCCCUCUGGGUUGUAAACUGCUUUUAUUAGGGAAGAAACCUUCCGAUUCAUCGGAAGCUGACGGUACCUAAUGAAUAAGCACCGGCUAACUCCGUGCCAGCAGCCGCGGUAAUACGGAGGGUGCAAGCGUUAUCCGGAUUUACUGGGUUUAAAGGGUGCGCAGGCGGGUUUGUAAGUCAGUGGUGAAAGCCUGGAGCUUAACUCCGGAACUGCCAUUGAUACUGCAAAUCUUGAGUACAGUUGAGGUGGGCGGAAUGCAGCAUGUAGCGGUGAAAUGCUUAGAUAUGCUGCAGA
Molecule: ribosomal RNA, 699 nt
Filed under: uncultured bacterium
Lineage: Bacteria
Description: bacterial SSU rRNA
Rfam family: Bacterial small subunit ribosomal RNA
Source: RNAcentral